This 254-nucleotide ribosomal RNA is filed under the name uncultured bacterium. RNAcentral describes it as "partial 16S ribosomal RNA". It matches the Rfam family "Archaeal small subunit ribosomal RNA", at positions 474 to 727 of the family's 1478-position model. The record is from RNAcentral.
UACCGGCAGCACGAGUGAUGGCCAAUCUUAUUGGGCCUAAAGCGUCCGUAGCCGGCCAGACAAGUCCGUUGGGAAAUCGACGCGCUCAACGCGUCGGCGUCCAGCGGAAACUGUCUGGCUUGGGGCCGGAAGACCUGAGGGGUACGUCCGGGGUAGGAGUGAAAUCCCGUAAUCCUGGACGGACCACCGGUGGCGAAAGCGCCUCAGGAAGACGGACCCGACGGUGAGGGACGAAAGCUAGGGUCUCGAACCGG